This 2850-nucleotide long non-coding RNA is filed under the name Carassius auratus (goldfish). RNAcentral's name for it is "lncRNA (ENSCARG00000060297.1)". Lineage: Eukaryota; Metazoa; Chordata; Actinopteri; Cypriniformes; Cyprinidae. The record is from RNAcentral.
AUGUUCUGUAAACUCCAGGUUAGGCCCGUGACAGAAUAUAAAGCCUGGAGCCCUCCUCAUUUUAGCCUUGAUAUUAAUCAGAAUAGUACGGAGCGUAUUGAAUUUGGGAGCAAGGACAAAGAUCCUUUGUCACCAUUCAUCCAGAGCCACAGGAUAAUUCACCCCUAUCAAAACGGGCAUAAGUACUCGUUACAUUUGGCGUCACGAACAGGAUUCGUUUAUUUGCCUGUUAUAGGAAUGGAGGAUUUACAGAAAGAAGUGGAUUUACUUAGCAGAAAAUUGUCUGAACAAGGUGAAGCUUUGCUACUGGCCAGAGAAGGUCAACGUGAGGCCCUGGCAUUAGCAAAAGCUGCCACCGAAAAACAGAGUGUAACUCCAGCCAUUUAUAUUCCUCGGGAAAGAAAACUCUCUGAUUUCAGUGGUAUUUCUGGGGAACAAGACGUGGAGGAAUGGAUUGAUCAAGUGAGAUCCAUCUUCCGGUUGUCCCGCAUACCUGAGGAUGAUCAAGUUGAACUUCUUAAGCAGCACCUUAAAGGGGAAGCUAAGUUGACUGUAAAGUUGAUGCUGGGUGAAACUGAAAACGAUCCAGAAAAGAUAUUUGAGGUGCUCAUUGACACAUAUGGUGACAGAACACCAGUUGGGACUCUACUGAGGGAAUUUUACGAAACCACUCAGAGUCCAGGAGAGACAGUUAGGGCAUUUGCUUAUGCUCUUCAGGAAAAGUUGGAAAAGGUUUUAAAAAGAGACCGCAAUCGUGUACCCCUUCCAGAAGUUGUUCUGAAUGAACAACUGGUAUUGGGUUUGUUUGAUGCCGGUCUUCGCCGGGAAAUUAAAAGAACAGUUAAGGAACAGAGAGGUAUGUCGUUCAAAGAUGUUAUAGAAGCUGCGAUCACCUGGUCAGAGGAGGGGGAAAAGAAUGUGUCAGCUGCAGCUUUAAGUAGUGGCAAGUCCAGAGCCACCGUGAGUUCUACUACUGCGGUGACAGAAUCACCUUCACUCAGCUUAGAAAGCCUGCAUGGGGCUAUUCAGAAACUCGCGGCCCGUCAAGAAGAGCUGUUUAAAGAGGUUUGCCUUGUUAAAGAAAUGAGGGUAGAGCCAAGGGAAAGUUACAAACGCAGCUCCCGGGCCCCGCUGAAGGAUAGUGAUGGUAGAUACAUUUGCUACUCCUGUAACCAGCCAGGACACACGAGUCGUUAUUGUCCCCAAAAUCGGGAAAAACAACCAGGGCUGCCAGUGGACAGGACUACGACUGUGUCCAGUCAGCAUGGUGAUAGUUCGGGUGUAGAUAGGUCAGCUUCAAUUCGUGUUCAGUCUGCCUCAUCCGCGGUCCAUGGCCACCAGGUUACUAGUCAGGCAUUUGGUAAUUGUCUGGUUAUUGAGGUAAAAAUAGCUGGGGUUAUAACCCGCUGUCUGUUGGACACAGGCUCGGAGGUUACAACCAUUACAGAGUCUUACUUUAGAGAACAUUUUUGUGGAGUUGGAUCAGAGCUAUUGAGUGCCAGAUGGGUGCGCCUCUCUGCGGUGAAUGGAUUGGAGAUCCCAGUGGUUGGGUGUCUGGAGACUGAUGAGUGCAUGGGACAGACCUUAUGUAACAAGUGUGUGUUUGUAUUAAAGGAUCCAGAACAGUCAGGAGAGGUGGGCGUUCCUGGCAUCGUUGGCAUGAAUAUACUGGGGGACCUUAAGGGACUGCUUGGCACCCACAAAGAGGUGACCAAGCUAGACCGCCACAGGGGGUUGAGAGAGAAUGCCUGUGUCAGGAGAGUACUGGCAACCAUUGAAAAGGAAACAAACUACAUUGCCCCAUCAGGUAGAAUAGGUUAUGUCAAGGUAGCUGGCAGGAGGAAAGUUACCAUUCCGCCAUACACUCAGGUAAUUGUACAGGGGCAUUGCCGAACCCCAAUGAAGAGCCAAUGCCAAGUCUUGGUGGAGGCUACAACAGGUGUAAGUCUGCCAAGUGGGGUUCUUGUUGCUAAUGUCUUGACCCAGGCAAAAGAAGGAAAGGUGCCAGUUCGGAUAUUAAAUGCCACUAGUAAGAUUGUGAGACUGCCACCUAGAGCUAGGCUUGCUGAGGUUCAUAAACCGGCAGAGAUCUACCUGAAAGACCCGAUAAUUUUUGAGGAGCAACAAGAUGCGUUCUGUGUACGGGUUAAAACUGAGAAGGUGGCAGGUCAUGGUCGAUUAUCGGACCCAUUGCCAAUCUCAAUAGAGGUUAAUAUGGAACCUUUGCAGGAUGAACAGAUGUUGAAGUUGAGGGCACUUCUAGAGAAACAUAUAGAUGUGUUCUCUAAGUCUGACAGUGAUUAUGGUCACACCACUGCAGUUACACACUGCAUCCCUACAGGAGAUGCUCAGCCCAUCAAACAACGUCACAGACGCAUCCCACCACAGAUCUUUCAAGAGGUCAAACGACAUGUACAGGACCUGGUGUCUCAGGGCAUCCUUAAGGAAAGUUGCAGUCCUUGGGCUUCCCCUGCAGUGAUUGUUGUUAAGAAGGAUGGGGGAAUUCGGUUUUGCUGUGAUUACAGGAGACUGAAUCAAAUAACCUGUAAAGACGCGUACCCUCUCCCUCGAGUGGAGGAGUCAGUUGAUGCUCUAGGAGAUGCCCGUAUUUUUUCAACGCUUGAUCUGACAUCUGGCUACUUUCAGGUUGCCAUGGAUAGUCAAGACCAAAUAAAGACAGCGGUGACUACACCUUUCGGGUUGUUCGAGUGGACUCGCAUGCCCUUUGGGUUAUGCAACGCCCCGGCGACAUUUCAACGCCUAAUGGGUGUGGUCCUAGGAGAUUUGACAUUUGACACCCUUUUAGUAUAUUUGGAUGACAUUAUAGUCUUCUCAAAAGACUGGAUCUAG